UACGUAGGGUGCAAGCGUUAAUCGGAAUUACUGGGCGUAAAGGGCGCGUAGGCGGCCACCGCAAGUCGACUGUGAAAUCUCCGGGCUUAACCCGGAAAGGUCAGCCGAUACUGCGGGGCUAGAGUGCAGAAGGGGCAACUGGAAUUCUCGGUGUAGCGGUGAAAUGCGUAGAUAUCGAGAGGAACACCUGCGGCGAAGGCGGGUUGCUGGGCUGACACUGACGCUGAGGCGCGAAAGCUAGGGGAGCGAACGGG
Molecule: ribosomal RNA, 254 nt
Filed under: uncultured bacterium
Lineage: Bacteria
Description: partial 16S ribosomal RNA
Rfam family: Bacterial small subunit ribosomal RNA
Source: RNAcentral